CCCGUCCGGUCCCCGCGGCCCUUUCCCCCUCCUCCCCUCCCGCCCCUUGCCGCCUUGGUGACAAAGCGCAGCUCCCGAACUGCUGUCUUGGUGCGCCCCCAACUGCCGACCGCCAGAGGCGGAAGUCGCGGCGCGUCCCAGCAUCUUCGGUGGCUCCGCAACUCUGCCUGGGGGCCGCAGGCCAAACACCCCAUCCCGGCAGGGCAGCCGACUUUCGCUCCAAAGGGAGGCUCACUGCGCCCUAAGCACCUGCCCUCUGAGCUGGACCCCAGAAGGGAUGGGUUCGGGUUGGGGCCCUUCAGCCUCGUCUUCUAGAGACGGGCAAUUAAUCGCGCGCAGAUGUGCCUUCAUGGGUCAUCAGAUUAAUCCUGAUAUCUCUCAAUUAGUUCGGGCUGCUCUAAAGGCCUUCUCUGUCCAGCAUUUUGUUUGCUCCUCCCCAGGUCUCUAAUGAAGUAGAAGAGGCCAGAGUUGUUCUGUCCAGUUUCCAGAUUCUGAGAGCAUCUGAACCAGAAGGAGAGGAGCAGCAAGGAGCUGGUCUGAGUGCAGUGAGGCCUGGAUUUUAAGCCCAGGAGGGAGGCAGACAGAUCCCAAGGAUCUUCGGAGAGAGAGAAGAUCUGUAACUGCUAUGAGAACAGAAUCAAUGGUGGAGGAGUGCUCUCAAACUUGCCCAGCCAAGAUUUCUGGCACUUCAAAGACAGUUGGUGAUAAGCCCUGUUGCCUGGAGCUCGUAUACGGACCUCCUGGACCUAUAGAUGGCAGAGCAACAAGGUGGAAGAAGCCUGGGUCUCUGAUAUCAUGGAGCACCACACCAUAAGGACCAAAGGCCUACAAGAGAAUGAGAAAUGAAGGAGUGUUUGCCAAAUGAAAAAGAGAGAGACAGAGACAGAAACCUAUAAGAAAAUGUAAAUUUCCAAAGUUUUUCUGGGUAGUGAUAAAGGGGUGUGUGUGUGUGCGUGAGAGAGAGAGAUUUUCCACUGAGAAUUAUACAACAUCUUCAUAGAACAUCAGAUUACACUAAACCUUUUUCCAGGCAGGCAGCUGAACCAAAGAAAAAGUUGCUAGAGCACAAACAGCAACAUAGUUAUUUUUAGGCGUACAAUAUGCCACUUUUAAAAAAAACCAUUUUACCAGCCCAGUGAUAUCACCUAAGUGAGACAUUGGAGCAAGAUUAUCAAGAGGGCAAAUGAGAAGUUUCUCUGGAGAUAGAAUGAAAAGGAAGAAGCCUUUCUCAGACCGAUUGAGAAAAACAGUCAACUCUCCUAUUCCUAUUUCUGUUCUCAAUUUGCUGUGAGACUUUAAGUGAGCUAUUAAACAUCUUGGACCUUAGUAAAAUGGGGUGGUAAUUUCAUAUACAGUGGGUAUUGGUAAGCUUUCUUGAUUUCAGAUCCAAAUUGAGCCUCUCUCACAAAAAAGUGUGGCUUUUGUAAGCUGUUCACCUACUGCUGGGGAGCUAAG
This 1455-nucleotide long non-coding RNA is filed under the name Equus asinus (donkey). RNAcentral's name for it is "lncRNA (ENSEASG00005025292.1)". Lineage: Eukaryota; Metazoa; Chordata; Mammalia; Perissodactyla; Equidae. The record is from RNAcentral.